UUAACUUAAAUUUGUAUGGCGUUGAAACGUUUGCCUACGUUUGCCGCUAGGGGCGCUGUUCCAACUGCAUACAAAAUUGAGCGA
This 84-nucleotide microRNA precursor is filed under the name Bombyx mori (domestic silkworm). RNAcentral's name for it is "mir-2807 microRNA precursor family". It matches the Rfam family "mir-2807 microRNA precursor family". The record is from Rfam by way of RNAcentral. Lineage: Eukaryota; Metazoa; Arthropoda; Insecta; Lepidoptera; Bombycidae.